GGUCAAGAUCUAUCUGCCCUUAAAUUUUCAGAUGAAUCGGACAACCCGUUGUUUGGUUGCUGGCCCUAAAUUGGUAAGUUUAAGGAAAUUUUGCUGUUUUUGGUUAUUAUCUUGAAUACUAUUAUAGAUAGAGAUAACCUGUAAACAGCAAUAAUGUUCAGAAAAGUAAGAUUUACAAAUAAGUCAACAUGACUGAAAUGGUCAAUUGACCCCCUAAGGAGUGAUUGUCCUUUAUAGUCAAUUUUUAACAAUUUUUAUAAAAUUUGUAAAUUUUUACUAACAUUUUCCACUGAAACUAUUGGGC
Molecule: long non-coding RNA, 304 nt
Filed under: Mytilus galloprovincialis (Mediterranean mussel)
Lineage: Eukaryota; Metazoa; Mollusca; Bivalvia; Mytilida; Mytilidae
Source: RNAcentral